AGCAGCCGCGGUAAUUCCAGCUCCAAUAGCGUAUAUUAAAGUUGUUGCAGUUAAAAAGCUCGUAGUUGAAUUUCGGGAUCAAUAUAUUGGUCAUGCUUAGGUAUGUACUGGUAUUAUUGAUUUCUCCCUUCUGAAGAACCAUAAUGUCAUUAAUUUGAUGUCAUGGGGAAUCAGGACUGUUACUUUGAAAAAAUUAGAGUGUUUAAAGCAGGCUUUCGCUUGAAUACAUUAGCAUGGAAUAAUGAAAUAGGACGUUUGAUUCUAUUUUGUUGGUUUCUAGGAUCGACGUAAUGAUUAAUAGGGAUAGUUGGGGGCAUUAGUAUUCAAUUGUCAGAGGUGAAAUUCUUGGAUUUAUUGAAGACUAACUACUGCGAAAGCAUUUGCCAAGGAUGUUUUCAUUAAUCAAGAACGAAAGUUAGGGGACCGAAGACGAUCAGAUACCGUCGUAGU
This 450-nucleotide ribosomal RNA is filed under the name uncultured Glomeromycotina. RNAcentral's name for it is "SSU rRNA". It matches the Rfam family "Eukaryotic small subunit ribosomal RNA", at positions 569 to 1024 of the family's 1831-position model. Lineage: Eukaryota; Fungi; Glomeromycota. The record is from RNAcentral.